GCUGUCUGCUCAGUGCCAGGUUUUAGACACAAGCUUCAGCAAAUUGCUGAUUUUAUUUUUAUUUUUAAAGUGUUUAUUUUUAUUUUGAAAGUGUUUUAUUUUCUAUUGUCAGAGGAGAUUAUCACCUUCGCAAUUGCAGUGUUGCUGGAACCAUUGCAGCCAUUGCUGUGCUAAACUGUGAUGUCACAACACUUUGAUCACGUAAGACAAACUGAGCACGAAACAAGCACGGCCUCUUACCGAGAUGUGACCUACAGCCUUCUGCAGCGAGGCCCAGGCUGUCCAGACACUGUGGUGAAGCAACUGUGUACAUCACCUCAGCCCAACUUCUUCUGGAUCUGUACAACUGGAUAUCUUUGGAAGACCUCUGUUCUUCUCCAUACUCCAUACAAAGAUAAGCGGCAGGAUUGGUCUCAAGUGUGUAUCACAUCCCACGCUCUGUAUGCAUGCUCUGAAAUACUCUCUCAAGCAAAAGGACACCCUCUUUCCAUAAUACUUCCACAGCAUGUGAUGGUGCUCAAUCUUUUUGAGGUAAUUACCUGAUAACUCACUAGAAAUACAAAUUAUCUCAGCUGUAGCUCCAGCAGCUGUAGCUAUGUUAAUAUAACAUAGCUAUCCAUCAUCCAUGUGUUCUUUUAGAUGGCUUCUUUGUCAUAUUUUCACAUGAUUAGUACCUUUUUUGGAUUAUUUCUUAUGUCUUAUUUGGGGUUCUCAAAUGACAUCACAGACUUUUUACACUAUGUCUCUAAAACCACAAAAGAAAAUAAUAUCACUGUUCCUAAGUUCCUUAACUUUUCUGGGAUUUGUUAUGUCGUUAUAGACAGAGCCUAGCACAAUAUCCUAUUCAUAACGACAGAUCUCUCAUAAAGACUAGAAAGAGUUAAAAUCCCCCCCUCCUUUUUUUUUUUGGAGGGUGGGAAAAUGUAAAUAUGUUCAAUCUAACUGAUGUUUAAUGAGAUUUGCAAGCUCUCCUAUAGCCCCUCUCAGCACCAAAGCCACUUGCCUAAAAUCUGAGCAGAGCACCCUGAUGGUUGGGUGACAAUGCAUACCAGCAGCACAGCCUUUGCCUUUUUCUGAGGGCUGGGCUGGGUGCCAAGGAGCCUGUACACCAAAGGCGUGUUCUUACAUUGCAUUGCAGUGAGUGCUCCACAAAUCCCCCUUGGCUCUUCCAUCAGCAAAAUGGGACUGAAAGGUUUUGGAUGCAGGCAAUCUGUGUUACUGCUCCUGACACUCUGGAGCAGUGUUGAAAUGGUGAUUUCAGGGAUUGAUGACAGUCUUUCACUCUGCUGUAUAAAAUGAAGCAAACGUAAUAAGCAAAUACUAUUUUGCUGUUCAUUGCUGGGUUGUGACAGCCUUGAUACACUCUGAGAAUGUUGUUUUAUAGGAAUUGAAGAGAAAAUGCUAUCAAACAGAAAACAUUUAGGCAAUGCUGCUAAAGAAUAAACUAAUGUGAAACAGUGAAGCCA
Molecule: long non-coding RNA, 1466 nt
Filed under: Phasianus colchicus (ring-necked pheasant)
Lineage: Eukaryota; Metazoa; Chordata; Aves; Galliformes; Phasianidae
Description: lncRNA (ENSPCLG00000003106.1)
Source: RNAcentral